Molecule: ribosomal RNA, 253 nt
Filed under: uncultured bacterium
Lineage: Bacteria
Description: partial 16S ribosomal RNA
Rfam family: Bacterial small subunit ribosomal RNA
Source: RNAcentral
UACGGGGGGGGCAAGCGUUGUUCGGAAUUACUGGGCGUAAAGGGCUCGUAGGUGGCCAACUAAGUCGGACGUGAAAUCCCUCGGCUUAACCGGGGAACUGCGUCCGAUACUGGAUGGCUUGAGUUUGGGAGAGGGAUGCGGAAUUCCAGGUGUAGCGGUGAAAUGCGUAGAUAUCUGGAGGAACACCGGUGGCGAAGGCGGCAUCCUGGACCAACACUGACACUGAGGGGCGAAAGCCAGGGGAGCAAACGGG